Molecule: ribosomal RNA, 440 nt
Filed under: uncultured bacterium
Lineage: Bacteria
Description: bacterial SSU rRNA
Rfam family: Bacterial small subunit ribosomal RNA
Source: RNAcentral
UCGGAGGCAGCAGUGAGGAAUAAUGCACAAUGGGCGCAAGCCUGAUGCAGCAACGCCGCGUGAGUGAAGAAGGCCUUCGGGUCGUAAAGCUCUGUCCUGUGGGACGAAACAAAUGACGGUACCACAGGAGGAAGCCCCGGCUAACUACGUGCCAGCAGCCGCGGUAAUACGUAGGGGGCAAGCGUUAUCCGGAAUCACUGGGCGUAAAGGGUGCGUAGGUGGUUCCUCAAGUCAGAAGUGAAAGGCAGUGGCUUAACCACUGUAAGCUUUUGAAACUGAGGAACUUGAGUGCAGGAGAGGUAAGUGGAAUUCCUAGUGUAGCGGUGAAAUGCGUAGAUAUUAGGAGGAACACCAGUGGCGAAGGCGACUUACUGGACUGUUACUGACACUGAGGCACGAAAGCGUGGGGAGCGAACAGGAUUAGAUACCCCGGUAGUCCG